UGGUGGCGGUGAUGGGAACAAACACAGACAUACAAACAUAUAUAUAUAUGUCAGAUGAGCUUCUUUCAGUUUCUGUCUACGAAAUCCACUCACAAGGCAUUGGUCGGCCCGAGGCUACUGUAGAAUACAUUUUCCCAAGGUGCCAUGCAGUGAGAUUGAACCCGGAACCAUAUGGUAGGUAAGCAAGCCACUUACCACACAGCUACCCCUGCUCCUAUAUAUAUAUAUAUAUAUAUAUAUAUAUAUAUAUAUAUAUAUAUAUUUCAUUAUUGUUAUUAUUAUUAUUAUUAUUAUUAUUAUUAUUAUUAUUAUUAUUAUUAUUAUUAUUAUCACCUUUUCUUUCAAACUUUUUCCCAGUCAUUUUUCCUUUUCCCGAGCGUCAAACUAAUACACUUGAUUGUCGUUCCUACACCUGUCCUCGUCUUUUGUUUUUCUAUAAAUUUCACCUGCCUUCGUCUUUUGUCUAUUUUCAUAAAGCUUCCCGUUAUAUAUAUAUAUAUACAUACAUAUAUAUAUAUAUAUAUAUAUAUAUAUAUAUAUAUAUAUAUAUGUACAUGUAUAUAUAUAUAUAUAUAUAUAUAUAUAUAUAUAUAUAUAUAUAUAUAUAUAUAUAUAUAUAUAUAUAUAUAUAUAUAUAUAUAUAUAUAACGGGAAGCUUUAUGAAAAUAGACAAAAGACGAAGGCAGGUGGAAAACAAACGAACAAUUGUAUUAGUAUGGCGCUCAGGAAAUAUAAAUAAAACAAGUCUUUAACGUUUCGAGCCUACGCUCUUCAACAGAAAGAUACACAGAGAGAAAAAAAACACAGAAAGAAGGAGAGAAAAAAAUGCGUGCAGUAGCUAACGAAUCAACAUGGCGAUCUGAUUUCGGCCAGAGGUCAAAGAUCAAACAUGAGACGCGAGAGCGAAAUAAGGGGAGAUAAUAGGGUUGAUAAUAGGGUUGAUAAUAGGGUUGAAGGACCAGCUAAGAGUGCGUAGGAGGGGUCUGGACGUGUGUAUGUAUCGGGUUGGUGUAUGUAUUAGUAUGUAUAAGGGUGUGUGUGUGUGUGUGUGUGUGUAUGAGAGAGUAUUAGUGCGUAGGAUUGGUCUGGACGUGCGUAUGUAUGGGGUUGGUGUAUGUAUUAGUAUGGCACAUCAUAUAUGAUGUGAUGUGUAAAGUCGUGUGGUGUAGUGAGGAGAAGAGGGGGAGGGGGAGAAGAGGGGGAGAAGGGGAGGGGAAGAAGAGGGGGAGGAGAGGGGGGAAGAGGAGAGGAUGGGGGAGAGAAAGGAGGGGGAGAAGGAAGGGGAGGAGGGGGAAGAAGGAGGAAAGAGGGAGAGGGGGAGAGAGAAGGGGAGUGAGGGAGUGAGGGAGCAGAGGGAAGGGGAAGAGGAAAGGAGGGAGGGAGAAAGAGGGAAGAAGGGAAGGGGAGUAGGGGUGAAAGGAUGAAGGACUGAAGAAGUAGGGGUCGGGGGGAAAGGAUAGGUGAGGAGGCGGGAGAGGGGGGUUAGAUGAGGAGGGGGGAGAGUUGAGACCAAAUGGCGUAUAAGAGCGAAGAGAGAAGAUUAAUUCCUGUUCACGGCGCAAACGGGAAUCCGGAUGGCCUCUGUGUAAGGACAAACCGAACACGGAUAGGUGUUGCAAGGAGUGACCGGUGGAGCGGAAAUGGCGUGAGACCGGUGUGUCGUUCGCAAGGUGGAUGUCACGAAGGUGUUCCGCGAACCGGUCAGCCAAGCGGCGUCCCGUUUGUCCGAUGUACAAGGAAUUGCAGUAUGUAUAUAUAUAUAUGUAUAUAUAUAUACAUAUAUAUAUAUAUAUAUAUAUAUAUAUGUGUGUGUGUGUGUGUGUGUGUGUGUGUGUGUGUGUGUGUAUGUGGAGAGAGAGAGAGAGAUGAGGAAGUCAGAAUUUUGGAUAAUCCUUAAACAGCGCUUUCGCUCUUUUAUGAACUUGUCAGGACAAAAUCAAAAUCAAAAUACGAAAAGACAGAAUAUUUCGUUUUUCAUUUAUAUGAAACGGUUGUUUUUUUUUUUCGUUUGUUUUAUUUAGAAGAGGAGAAUAUCGAUUUUUUUCUUGAAAAGGGGACAGAAAGAGAAAGAAAAGCAAAAUGCGGGGGGUAACAGAGAGAGAAAGAGAGAGAGGGAGAUUUCAGGUCAAUGAAGAAGGAGAAAAAAAUAAGGAUAAUAAUAAAGGAUAGGAAAAGGAGAAAUAGAUAAAAUAGAUAGAUAGAUAGAUAGGGAGAAAGAGAGAGAGGGAGCGAGUGAGAGGGAAAGAAAGAGAGAGGCUUCUUUUCAUUUUGGUGUGGUCAAUUCAUUGAAAUUUCAUUUCUUUUUUUUCUCAUUUCUUUCAUUUUUUUUUCUUUUUACAUUGCAUACUUAUUAACAUAUUUGUAAAUAAACACAUUUUCUCACAAGGGCUGGUGACCUUUCAAAUGUGCCAAUUUUAGGAAGUAGGAUGGAAGAAAUAAGAAAGGGGGAAGGGUGUGGUCAUCACUGCAAAAUAAAAAAAGAGUUCAAAAUCCUAUGAGAAUGUAUUUUCUUCUACAAUUUAUAGCCAGGUCCCAUAUUCUGUGUAAUUCUAUAUUUUGCAUGAACAAACACUAAAUAUUCAUAAAUAAGGAAAAUAAGGUCAGAAUCACGAAUUCCCUUGCCUGGUAGGUACAUUAGAUAUCUUUCCUAAAAAUGCUUAUAGUAUUCUGUAUUCUUUUUCAGGUAUUGUAACAUCUAUAAGAACAGUUGUCAAAAUCCUUUGUUAUAUAUAUAUAUAUAUAUAUAUAUAUAUAUAUAUAUAUAUAUAUAUAUAUAUAUAUAUAUAUAUAUAUAUAUAUACAUUAGACUCCUCACUCAUAUAUAUAUAUAUAUAUAUAUAUAUAUAUAUAUAUAUAUAUAUUGUGUGUAUGUGUGCGUGUGUAAGCAAAAUAUGAACCACUGCAUGAAUCCAUUCUUCCUAAAAAACUUACUAAAAAUGACGAUACCCAUCGUUCCACCACUAGAUGUGAUAACAUAAAUAUUGGAAGCUAACGCAUGAAAUAUGUAUGUCUAUGUAUGUAUAUAUAUACAUACAUAUAUAUAUAUAUAUAUAUAUAUAUAUAUAUAUAUAUAUAUAUAUAUAUAUACAUAUAUAUUUAUACAUAUACAAGAUAAGAAAAUGGAGAUAUACAUCUAAAUCAAAUAUCAAUUACCAGAUAAUACUCAAUCACAUACUUUAUUAAACCACCACAUAAGAGACUGUAGGGUUAAAUAUAAAAAGCAGGAAAAAUCAGUGUACAUAAAGGAAUGUACAUAAAAAAGUGUACAUAAAAGAGUAAUGUUGUAUAAUAAGUAGAAUAUAUAUAUAAAAGAGAAUAUAAAUACAAGUAUAAAUUAGAUCUUACAGCUGUUUCGGCCAUGUCGAUAAGUAUGUCUCAUUUUACCAUACAUGUAUAUAUAUAUACACAUAUAUAUAUAUAUACAUAUAUAUAUAUAUACACAUAUAUAUAUAUAUAUAUAUAUAUAUUUAUAUAUAUAAAUAUAUAUAUAUAUAUCCUUUCAUAUAUUUUUCUUUUCUACACUCUCUAUAUUAUUGCUCCUAUUUUACUCUUAUUACCUUCUUAUACACUCUUUAAUAGGAAUAACGUACUGUACUUACUGGUAACUGAUUCUAUAUAUAUAUAUAUAUAUAUAUAUAUAUAUAUAUAUAUAUAUAUAUAUAUAUAUAUAUAUAUAUAUAUAUAUAUAUAUAUAUAUAUAUAUAUAUAUAUACUCAAGCCAACUAUGGCGAAUAACAUUCUGGAUCUCUGCUUCACGAACAAUAUGGACAUCAUUCAUGAUGUGAAAGUGACAUCGACAUCAGUUUCGGAUCACAACAUAAUAGAGCUGUCUAUGUUUGGGCCAAAAGUAACCAGAGACAUACAGCCUAAAGGAAGCACCCGAAAUCUCUCCAAUGUGAACUUCCACAAAGCAGAUUGGAAAUCGAUCCAAAAAGAGAUGCUCAGAGAGGACUGGCCGGAAUGUCUCUCCACACCAGACAUUGACAUGAAACUAGAAUGUUUCAUGUCUUCUGUGCAAGCCGUAUGCCAGAAACAUGUCCCAGAGCACAAGGCCAAAACAAAUAGGAGCAUGAUUCCAAGAGACAGGAAGAUCCUCAUGAGACAACGGAUGUAAGUUGCAAAUCGUCUCAACCAACAUCCCAAAAGUAGCAAAACGUCCCGCCUAAAAACAACACUGAUGGAGAUCGAAAAAAGGCUGCAACAAUCCUAUGUGAAGGAGAAAGCAGACAAAGAAGUCUGGGUUAUAAAAAAUAUUAAAUCAAACCCAAAGACCUUCUUUCAUUACGCGAAAGAAACAGUCUCAGUGCACUACAAGAUAGGACCCCUCCUCCAAAAGGAUGGCUCCCUCACAGACAGUCCAACUAAGAUCAGUGAGAUGCUGAAUGACCAGUUCAAAAGUGUCUUUACCACCCCGUUGAAACACAGACAAGUGAACGAACCGGUGGACUUCUUUGCCGCCUCACCUAUAACCAGCGAGGCGGUUACAAUAGAAUGUAUUGACAUUAGCGAAAAAGAUGUCCUACUAGCCAUAGAUGAAGUGGACACAAAAUCAGUUGCUGGUCCAGAUGGUUUCCCAGCCAUCCUCCUCAAAGCGUGUAAGCAUGCCCUGGCAAAAUCCCUCAAGAUUCUCUUCCAGAGCUUUCUUGCGAAUGGCAAACUGCCAAGCAAGCUGAAGGAGGGAAUAAUAUGCCCAAUACAUAAAGGCGGAAGUAGAGCAGAUGCCAAAAACUAUAGGCCUAUCUCUCUGACUUCACACAUCAGCAAAGUCACGGAACGGAUAGUCAGAAAGAAACUAAUCGCAUUCCUUGAGGAAAAUAACUUGCUGAGUGAUACCCAGCAUGGUUUUCGACUAGGUAGGAGCUGCCUGAUCCAGCUUUUACAGCAUUAUGACUGGGUGUUGGGGCAGUUAUUCAACAAACCAAAUGUGGACGUAAUCUACCUUGAUUUUGCAAAAGCUUUUGACAAGGUGGAUCAGGGUAUGAUAUGCCACAAACCGCGUGACCUCGGCGUAGCUGGGAAACUUGGAGUGUGGUUGCAUGACUUCCUGAAAGAUAGGAGUCAGGCAGUAGUGUUUAAUGGAGCCACCUCUAUGAACACACAAAUAGUGAGCGGUGUUCCACAGGGCACUGUCUUGGGACCACUGCUUUUUAUAGUGGCCCUCUCAGAUAUGCCCUCAAAUGCCCGGAUAGCAACUCUGGCCAGGUAUGCAGACGAUACGAAAGUCUCGCAGAAAAUACAGAACCCCAGCGAUGUUGCACACCUGCAGCAGGAGUUGGACUCAAUCUAUAGAUGGGCUGAGGAUAAUAAUAUGCAGUUUAAUGCUGAAAAAUUCCAGGCCCUGCGCUACCAGCAUCCAAAACUGAAUAUUAAACUUACAGGAUACACCGGUCCUCAGGGAAUUUCAAUCCCAGAGCCUAAGUCUGAGAGGUACCUGUGUAUCGACAUGAGUGAUGAUAUCUCUUUCCAAGUGCACAUUACCAGGAUGGCGACAAAGUGCAGACGACUGGCUGGGUGGAUCCUAAGAACAUUCAGAACCAGAGAUAAGGAAACCAUGAUGGUCCUCUGGCGGACAUUCGUCCUCAGGCGCCUGGAUUACUGCUAACAGCUAUGGUCACUCACCAGAGUAAAAUUAACAGCGGACCUUGAAGCAAUCCAGAGAAGAUUCACAAAGAAGAUCGUCUCUUUGCAACAGCUCAGCUACUGGGAAAGGUUGAAACAGCUAAGACUCUACUCCCUGGAGAGAAGACGGGAGAGGUAUGCAGUAAUAUAUGUCUGGAAGAUCCUGGAAGAAAUUGUGUCAAAUUUUGGCAUUGUAAGCUACACCAAUGCUAGAACGGGACGACACUGCAUAGUGCCAAAGAUCCCAGCAAUGCCAUCACGCUUCAGGACCAGCUUCUGCAACAGCCUGGGUUUCAAGGGCCGACAGCUUUUUAAUAUUGUUCCAAAGAGUCUGAGAAACUUGCACAAAGUAGAUGUAGCGGUUUUUAAAUCAAAGCUGGACAUCUUUCUGUCAAGAGUGCCAGAUGAACCUACCUCACGGCAAGAGGUGCAAAUGAGAGUAGCUAUAUCAAACUCCAUUCUUCAUCAAGUGCCACAUAUUAGACGAGGUUCGUCGUAAUAAUAGUGUAGCACAAAACGGCGGUGCAUCAGCAUGGCCGCAGCUCUGAGCUGAAACUAGAAAAAACAAAAAACAAAAAACAAUAUAUAUAUAUAUGACUGUGUAUAUGUAUAUUUAUAUAUACAUGCAUUAGAGACACACCCAAUAUCCUAAUUUUUAUCUACCGAUCACUACAGAACACUGAAGAGAUGAAAAUAUCAUGUAGGGUAUUGUGACCACGUGGCAGAAACGGCCGUAUAAACUGUUCUUCUUCUAUUCUAUAAAUUACUGGUACGUAUGCAUGUAAUACGCAGUCUAUGCAUAUGUAUAUAUUCUCAUAAAUGUUUUAGAAUGAAUAAAUAAAUAGACAUAACAGUUGAUGUAUACUAUUUCUGUAUCCCCUCUAUUUUCUUCUUGCCGUAUAAAUUAAGGGUAAACCUCUUUUUACCCUCGCCCAUUUAUUACGCUCAUUAGUGAAAUUGCCACGCAAUAACCAGCACUUGGGUAUUAAUAAUUGGGUACACUAGCAGCAGUAUACUGGAUAGUAACCCAUGAAUAGGUUAGCAUAUGAGGGUGAAAACCUCGUCCCCAUAGCCGUGCUAUUUAUUUGUCGAUAUGUUUUAUUAUCGAAUCUGAAGGUGUUUUCUUCUAGUAACAUGUGUGUGACUUUCGUGAUGAAGUUUUGAAGCGUUUAUUUAUCUGUCGUCUAUGUUUCUCUAUGCAGUGUUUGACUGAUUCCAUCCUUUCCCCAUCCUUUAUUAUUAUUUUUUUUACUCCUCUUUCUUGGUUGUCCUGAAACCUCUCUAUCGAUCUACUUUUACCUCGACUUUGCUUUUUCUUCUCUGACUCUCCAUUUUUUUCAAUAUAUAUAUAUAUAUAUAUAUAUAUAUAUAUAUAUAUAUAUAUAUAUAUAUAUAUAUAUAUAUAAAUUCAGGGUGAAUACUUGAUAAAUGUAAGCACCUGUAUAUGCCAGCUAGUAGCAGAGGUGAGAGGAUAUAUGUAUCAAAUGAAAUAAAAAACAGAACACAAAGGAUGUCGCGCUACACGUGUUUGAAGCUUUAUAAAACAACUUAUUCUUACAUCAAUGUAUAAUCGACAUAACAGAUGGUUUAAAGCUCUCUUUAGCCGCAUGCAAUUGCUAUACCAAAGACCUGUAUCACAUUAUGAAAAGUCCGAAAAGGAACAUUUGGUAUUAUCUAUAAUGGUAGGUAUAUUGAGUUUUCUGAGAAAGUAUAUUUGUAAAUCUUCAUAAUCAAAUAGGUUUGCAGGGUAUUAUUGGACUUCGAAAAUCCGUCCAUACUGUAUCAAAUAUAUAUAUAUAUAUAUUCUCCCCUUCUAAACAAAAUUUUUAAAAAAACAUACAAAUCAUAAAUAAACAACCAAACGUUCUGUUUUGAACAUCUUGAUUUUGAUGUUGUUGUGACAACUUCGUAAACGAACGAAAAGUGCUAAUUUCGGAUUAUCCAAAAUUCUGACUGCCUCCUUUUUCUCCAUAUACAGUAUCUGUACACCACUUCAAACAUUCUACACACACACAUACAUAUAUACGUACGUAUAUGUAUGUGUGUGUAUGUGUUUUAACUAAAAUGGAGGCGAACACCAUUCCUUCAUGUGACUGGCUUGAAAAAUUGUUAAGAUAUUAAAAUAUUUUUCUUAACACGAAACAAAUGAUACCCUUAAUACACAAGUUAAGAAUUUCUAUCCAACAAUACGGUGUUGAGCACUCAUUUUUGAUCGUUCGACACAUAUAUAUAUAUAUAUAUAUAUUUAUGUAUAUAUAUACAUUAAUCAAAGGACACGUUAAAGUGUCUAUCCGCUAGAAAUAAGAGUUAAAACCCUCAUUUGGACCACCCAAAAUUAUUAACACUGAAAGCAGAGGUCCAAAUGAGGAUUUUAACUCUUAUUUCUAGCGGGUAGACAUUUUAAAAUGUCCUUUGAUUAAUCUAAUUUUAAUUCUACAGGUAUAUAAUGCCACUUUAGGCCUACAACAACCUAUACUCAUAUUGUUGUUAUUAUAAACUAUUUGUAUUGACUUCGAUAAUAAUAAAAUUAAUAUCGAUAUAAAUAUUCGUUUAUAUAUAUAUAUAUAUACAUACAUAUACAUAUAUGACCCACUCAGCUGUAAAGUCUAAUCAAAUAAAACGGAAACUUAACAUACAAAGUGUUAAAUACUAGCUGCUUAUCGUGCAUGCAAUUUAUAUUUAGAUUAUACUUUCUUCCGGUAAUUUCAUCAUUUAGAACCGUUAAUCCUUGCAUAUUUUCUCUCUCACUGUUUUCCCCCCCUCUCAAACCUCUCUGGCUAAGAGCGUAUGCUCGAAACUUCUAAGACUUUUCCAUUCCUCCUGAGCGUUAAACUCAUACACUUCCUUGUUUUUCCUUCACCUGUCUUCGUCUUUUGCUUUCUGUAAAUUUGAACAAUAUAUAUAUAUAUAUAUAUAUAUAUAUAUAUAUAUAUAAACAGUAACAACAGACGAAUUGUGGUUCAUUACAGCUGUUUCAGACGCGUUGAAGUGAAGUGUUACAUCAUGCAAAGAAAAUAACAACUACAGGUUAGAAUUAACAAUUAAAACUUCUCAAGAACAUGUAUGUAGUACCAGAAGAUUCUACCGACCCAAACUGAAUAUAUGUUGCAAGUUGAACAGUUGUUUCCGCUAAGUCUCUGAAAUUAUACAUAGAGGCUUUAAAGGAAACAUUCAAAGACUAUGUACCUUUUCUGAAAUUAGUUGUUUUUCAUCAUCUAACUGAAUGCCUACAAGUAUUUUCUACCUCCAUGCAUAGCAACAAGCAACAGGUACUGAUCAGUAAUAUAAUUAAUUGAGAAUUAUUGUGGAAAUUGGUACAAUCUUUUCAAAAAGCGAUAUAGUUUUAGCUGAACCGAUAUUAAAGACAGGUGCGUAAUUUUAAGUGUGUGUGUGUGUAUGCAUUAAGAAAAAAUACGUAGUCAGAAUUUUUGAUAAUUCUAUAUUAACGCUGGAGUCUCAUUCAUCAAAUCCGUUUUCCAGAAAAUGUUUUUGCAUCUUACACAAAUCUGGAGGAGAAGGAUGUUUUGUUUGUUUUGUUGACUAUCUAUCUAUCUAUCUAUCUAUCUAUCUAUCUAUCUAUCUAUCUAUCUAUCUAUCUAUCUAUCUAUCUAUCUAUCUAUCUAUCUAUCUAUCUAUCUAUCUAUCUAUCUAUCUAUCUAUUAAUCUAUUUAUCUAUCUAUCUAUCUAUCUAUAUAUCUAUCUAUCUAUCUAUCUAACUAUCUAUUUAUCGAUGAACACACGCACACACACGCACACAAAUACGCACACACACACACACACAAACACACAAACACACAUAUAUACAACGAAAGUGGUUAUACGCAAUAUAAAACCAAGAACGAAAAAUUCAAUUGUCCCUAAUUGUGACUGGGUGUGCAGUGUAGGCGCUACAUUGCUAGAAAUAAAAGUCAAAUACCCUUAGUGUCCUAUUUUCCUGAACCAUCCAUUGAUUCAUAUAGCAAAUACUACAUACUGACAGUUAGACUUAGCCAACCAAUCCAGCGAUAGAUUAGUCACCAUUGAUGAACUUUAAUUUCAAGCAUAACUAGACUAGUAUGGUGGUCUCACUCGCUGUUGGGUGAUUAUCUCCCCUGCCAGUGCUUAGAUAUGUGUCGUUUGCGGCUCUAAGGGUCUUUGGCAAUUAUACACACACACACGCGCACACACAUGGAAACAGAAGGAGAAAGAGAGAGGAAGAAAUAAAGAAAGAGAGAGAGAGCCAGAUAGACAAACAUAGGGACAGACAGACAGGGAGUUCAUGGUGUGCUUCUAAUUAUCAUUGUGUUUAUAUUAACACAGUUAAUAUAAAUUCAAUGCCUUUGUAGAUCGAAUAUUUCUUACAUCGGAUUAUAGCUCCAGCUUACUCCGUUCCAUUAGGAGAAAUUUCCUGCCUUUUUCCUUGGAAAAUUCUUAGACGAGGCUGGUUGCCUGGUCGGCUGGCUCGCUUGCUGAUGGAGCGGGACGUAGAUGGGUUGCUAUUUAUGAAUCUUGUUCUACAUGUCUUAGGAGUUUGUGUACGUGAUUAUAACAAACGGUCGCAAUUGAUUUGGAUGCUUACGUUUAUCGUCAAGAUUCAAAAAGACCUAUAAUUCAGUUGUUGUUGGCAAUAAUAAAUUUGCUUUCACGACGGUACUUAGAAUUUAGUUCUGAAUUUUUGCUGAAAAUGUCUGCUGAUUUGUAAGGAUGAAGUAUUUUCAUCAUUACAGAAGUUACAGAAAUUUAAACAACGGAUACACUCGUUUGCGGCUAGCAGGAGAGAUCAGGUGAUGCUGCGGUCUUUCAAGUACCUUAUGUUAAGGAUUCUGUAGCCCACAAUCACGUAUUUGAAGUAGGCUACAAUCAUGCACGAGUUUUCAAGUACCAUAUAUGCUGAAUCAUUUCUUUUGUCUGUAUGCCUAAAAGUAGAAUUAUACUUUAUAAACUUGCUUUUGAAGCUACCCUCUGAUAUUCUGACAUAGUGUUGUAGGAGGAUGCUAAGUAGGUUUAUGUUUCAGCAUUACAUACCUAGUUCAAGGGGCACAUAUUAUUAUUUCAAGUAUUGUAGUUAUCUCUUAUGCUUUGUAAGUCAACGGGAUUAUUCAAAUAAUUCUUCGCAGAACUGUUUUUCUGGUUAUUGACCGAGUAGGUGGUUUGGAGUGCCUAUAAACUUUCACCACAACGCAAUGCAAUAAUAUAUAUAAAUAUAUAUAUGAAGGAGGGAAUAAUAUGCCCAAUACAUAAAGGGGGAAGUAGAGCAGAUGCCAAAAACUAUAUGCCUAUCUCUCUGACUUCACACAUCAGCAAAGUCACAGAACGGAUAGUCAGAAAGAAGCUAAUCGCAUUCCUUGAGGAAAAUAACUUGCUGAGUGAUACCCAGCAUGGUUUUCGACCAGAUAGAAGCUGCCUGACCCAGCUCUUACAACAUUAUGACUGGGUGUUGAGGCAGUUAUUCAACAAAUCAAAUGUGGACGUAAUCUAUCUUGAUUUUGCAAAAGCUUUUGACAAGGUGGAUCAUGGUAUGAUAUGCCACAAACUUCGUGACCUCGGCAUAACUGGAAUACUUGGAGUGUGGUUACACGACUUCCUGAAAGAUAGGAGUCAUGCAGUAGUGGUUAAUGAAGCCACCUCUAUGAACACACAAAUAGUGAGCGGUGUUCCUCAGGGCACUGUCUUGGGACCACUGCUUUUUAUAGUUGCCCUCUCAGAUAUGCCCUCAAUUGCCCGGAUAGCAACUCUGGCCAGCUAUGCAGACGAUGCGAAAGUCUCACAGAAAACACUGAACUCCAGCGAUGUUGCACACCUGCAGCAGGAGUUGGACUCAAUCUACAGAUGAGCUGAGGGUAAUAAUAUGCAGUUUAAUGCUGAAAAAUUCCAGGCCCUGCUCUACCAGCAUCCAAAACUGAAUAUUAAACUUACAAGAUACACCGGUCCACAGGGAAUUUCAAUCCCAGAGCCUAAGUCUGUGAGGGACCUGUGUAUCGACAUGAGUGAUGAUACAUCUUUCCAAGUGCACAUUACCAGGAUGGUGACAAAGUGCAGACGACUGGCUGACAUUCGUCCUCAGGCGCUUGGAUUACUGCUCACAGCUAUGGUCACCCACCAGUGUGAAAUUAACUGCGGACCUUGAAUCAAUUCAGAGAAAAUUCACAAAGAAGAUCGUCUCUUUGCAACAGCUCAGCUACUGGGAAAGGUUGAAACAGCUAAGACUCUACUCCCUGGAGAGAAGACGGGAGAGGUAUGCAGUAAUAUAUGUCUGGAAGAUUCUGGAAGGAAUUGUGCCAAAUUUUGGCAUUGUAAGCUACACUAAUGCUAGAACAGGACGACACUGCAUAGUGCCAAAGAUCCCAGCAAUGCCAUCACGCUUCAGGACCAGCUACUACAACAGCCUGGGUUUCAAGGGCCGACAGCUUUUUAAUAUUGUUCCAAAGAGUCUGAGGAACUUGCACAAAGUCGAUGUAGCGGUUUUUAAAUCAAAGCUGGACAUCUUCCUGUCAAGAGUGCCAGAUGAACCUACCUCACAGCAAGAGGUGCAAAUGAGGGUGGCUAUAUUAAACUCCAUUCUUCACCAAGUGCCACAUAUUGGCGGAGGCUCUUAGUAAUAACAGUGUAGCACAAAACGGCGGUGCAUCAGCAUGGCCGCAGCUCUAAGCUGAAACAAGAAAAACGAAAAACGAAAAACGAAAUAUAUAUAUAUAUAUUUCUGGUGCAUUGUAUUUUGUAUUAUUUAUUCUAGGGGCCUUGUAUGUCCAUUUUUUUCGAUUUUCGCCUCUACACUUCCAUACACUGACAAAUUUCUAUUCUUAUAAAUCCUAACUUAUAUUCUUAUUUGUUACAGUCAUACCAAUUUGUAUUUUGCAUUGUUUAUAUGUAGCUAAUACUUAGAUUUCUGAAAUAACACGCGAACUUGGCAACUUAUGUUUAUCAGCUUUUUAAGAGUUCAGUACAGAAAUCACAUGACUAGUGGAAAUAUCAACGGUUGCAGCAUUUUCAUUUUGAUAUCUUUUUGUAUCGAUGGGUGUUUCCAAAUGCAGUUUGAAGUUAUAACAACAAAUUUUUAACUUGUAAUUCCUAUUUUUAUCUCAUUGUUUGAAUGGAAUUAAUUUCUAAUAUUGCUCCUAAGCUACCAAAAUUUGUACCCCACUUUAACAGUUCCGUUACCAAUUAUUGUGGGAUUAUCUUGAUCUCAUAUUCCUGAGAUAAUCGUUGAUUUAAUCUCGUCAAAAUUAACAAAUUAAUCAUACUUCUCUUUUAUAUCACUUUUAAUUAAUUCAUAAAAACUCUCACUUCGUCUGAGCUACCGGCAAUUACAAACAUUAUCAAUGAUUUAACUGACAUCUCUAAUCAUUGUUCCAGGAAUAUUAACACUUCUUCGAAGCAUUCCGGAAAUUUCGUCUUCCCAAUUGUUGCAUAGCUCUUAAACAGAGAAGGGCAAAGGACACAGUUUUGUCUUACACCUGUUCAAUUACCGAGGAAAGUAUUUUCUUUUAUAUAUCAUAGUAUCAUAAAAUUAUGUUGAUAUUUCAUAUUAUAUAUUUUAUAUUCGA
RNAcentral lists this long non-coding RNA (13142 nucleotides) under Octopus vulgaris (common octopus). Lineage: Eukaryota; Metazoa; Mollusca; Cephalopoda; Octopoda; Octopodidae. The record is from RNAcentral.